UAACCAACUCCUGAAUUCACAAAUAUUAAACAAAAUGCUCCAAAUCCACAUAUAAACUGUUGAUUGCUCAUCUAAACAAACAUUGAUGCCAAGGGAAAAGGAAGUUUGCCUUGUCUAGGAUUUACUCCAUUCCUAAAGGAAACCAUCGCAUCAAUAACUAAAGUCGAGGAAAUGCAAAUUUAAGAAUUCUUUUGAUUUAAUUCUUACUUGAAAAAUAUUAACAUAACCUAGUAUUUUCAACCACAGACUAAAGCCUGGUGUAACUAUGAGCACGAUUGUCAAGACUU
This 287-nucleotide unclassified non-coding RNA is filed under the name Hevea brasiliensis (rubber tree). Lineage: Eukaryota; Viridiplantae; Streptophyta; Magnoliopsida; Malpighiales; Euphorbiaceae. The record is from RNAcentral.